This is a long non-coding RNA of Triticum dicoccoides, 529 nucleotides long. RefSeq lists it as uncharacterized. The record is from RefSeq and is a predicted model, not a curated record. The transcript has 3 exons. NCBI's taxonomy places the organism in Eukaryota, Viridiplantae, Streptophyta, Magnoliopsida, Poales, Poaceae.
GUGCAGAUAUUCUCGAUCCUGCUUUACUCCGUUCUGGUCGCCUGGACCGCAAGAUUGAGUUCCCUCAUCCGGCAGAAGAAGCAAGAGCUAGGAUUUUACUCAAGAAAGAUGAACGUACAUCCUGAUGUCAACUUUGAGGAGCUGGCUCGUUCAACUGAUGAUUUCAACGGUGCACAGCUGAAGGCUGUUUGUGUGAAAGCUGGCAUGCUUGCUCUACGCAGGGAUGCUACAGAGGUGAUCCAUGAAGAUUUCAACGAAGGCAUUAUCCAAGUGCAAGCAAAGAAGAAAUCCAGCUUGAAUUAUUACGCUUAGUUUCCCUUAAGUAUUCAGAAGGCUUGGUCCUGUGACGGCCGCUGUUUGUAACACUCGGCUACCAUUUUCAUUUGGAAUAUAGUUUAAUUCUCGAAUCCUCCUGAUUGUGUGAAUCACUCUUUGCUUUGUGCAUGUACCCGAAGAACUUAUUUCCAACCAAUUGCUCUGUGCGACAAUGUGAAUUGUGGACUAUAUGGCUUGUUCAGGAUGCAUUAUC